UGCCUGAUGGAGGGGGAUAACUACUGGAAACGGUAGCUAAUACCGCAUAACGUCGCAAGACCAAAGAGGGGGACCUUCGGGCCUCUUGCCAUCAGAUGUGCCCAGAUGGGAUUAGCUAGUAGGUGGGGUAACGGCUCACCUAGGCGACGAUCCCUAGCUGGUCUGAGAGGAUGACCAGCCACACUGGAACUGAGACACGGUCCAGACUCCUACGGGAGGCAGCAGUGGGGAAUAUUGCACAAUGGGCGCAAGCCUGAUGCAGCCAUGCCGCGUGUAUGAAGAAGGCCUUCGGGUUGUAAAGUACUUUCAGCGGGGAGGAAGGUGUUGUGGUUAAUAACCGCAGCAAUUGAC
This 351-nucleotide ribosomal RNA is filed under the name Enterobacter cloacae. Its description in RNAcentral is "bacterial SSU rRNA". It matches the Rfam family "Bacterial small subunit ribosomal RNA", at positions 127 to 473 of the family's 1533-position model. The record is from RNAcentral. Lineage: Bacteria; Pseudomonadati; Pseudomonadota; Gammaproteobacteria; Enterobacterales; Enterobacteriaceae.